UAAAUAAAUAAAAAAUAAAAUUAGGCAUAUAUAUAUACCUAUAUACACGUAUAUAUUUUUUCAGACAGUUGUUAAGAUUUUGUCAGCACCCUUUUGCGUAUAUCCUUCUCUUGAGUUUCUGCUCAAAUGUCAUAUUCCCCAUGAAAUCCUUUUGGAUCUUGUCUAAACCGGUAUUAAAUGCACCUUCUGCCUUCCAUAGCAACUUGGGACCUAAUUAAAAUGCUUUUUAUCCUAAAGAGUACUUAGUUUUAUGCAUAUAUCUAUUUAUCUCUCUGUCUGGUAACCUCCUAGAAAAUAAAAGAAAAAGUAUUAUAGAUCUUAAUCUUGGCAUGCAGCUUGACAUUUAGCAUGAAACUAUACUGUAAGACUCUCAGGAAAUAUUUGUCAAAAAAUCAAAUAUUUCACAGGGUUUGAUUUAGAUGGCAUUAUAAAAUAGUUUCCUUUUUCCAGUGGAUUCUAGAUAUCUUCUCAUUGCCUGCGAGGAGAUCAGCUGACAAUAGAGUGGAUUUGAAGUAAAAGAAAUUGAAUUAAUAUUUUUCUUUCACCACAUUAGUGAAAUGUAACACAUUAGUAAAUCUCUUAGAAUUAAUUUAUUGAUUAAUUUUAAGAAAAACCAAUCUUCCUUCUUCACAAAAUAUUCUUACUAAAUAAGAAGAAUUGGGGUCAGGAUAAAAUUAAUAGGUACUGAGCCAGCUUUUUCUUUCCUGCAUUUUUCUAGGUCUAAGAUUCUUUACCCAGCUUUUACCUGAUAAUAAUAUCAAUAAUAAUAACAGUUAAUGCUUUUAUGUGCCUCCUGUGCUCCAAGUGCUUCACAUAUUUAUCAAAUACUCAUCACAUUUCUAUAAGGCCAUGCAGUCAUUGGCAGUGGGCAUGACCUCCACGCUCUUCAGUCUCCUAUGGAAUCUGGAGCAUCACUUGGAGAAGCUUGGACUCUUCCCAGCCUUUUUAUGGGAAAGGGAAGCCAUCUUUGAAGACAGUAGAAGAGCAAUUAUCUCGUGGAUAAUCAUGGAAAUCACCUUUUAAAAAAUUACUAUUAAAAAUGUGAGUGUUGAAUAAAGAGAAUGCUUUUAGUUAUAAAAACUCA
Molecule: long non-coding RNA, 1084 nt
Filed under: Vulpes vulpes (red fox)
Lineage: Eukaryota; Metazoa; Chordata; Mammalia; Carnivora; Canidae
Description: lncRNA (ENSVVUG00000011434.1)
Source: RNAcentral